This 327-nucleotide ribosomal RNA is filed under the name Diastylis goodsiri. Its description in RNAcentral is "partial small subunit ribosomal RNA". The record is from RNAcentral. Lineage: Eukaryota; Metazoa; Arthropoda; Malacostraca; Cumacea; Diastylidae.
AAACUCAAACCCAAAGAAUUUGGCGGUCUUUAAACCAAAUAAGAGGAACUUGCCAUAUAAACGAUGCCCCACGAAAAACCCUACUCAAUUGAAUAUUUGUUUGUAUACCACCAUCUAAAAACUGUCUAUAACACUUUUAUAAAAAAUGAAUCUUUUAUGUUAGGUCAAGGUGCAGCUUAUAAUUAAGCAGAGGUUAGUUACAAUCUUUUUAAAGGCUGGAUAGAAGCUGAAAAUCUAUUAAAAGAGGAUUUUAAAGUAAUAAGAAUUUAAUAUGACAUAAUGACUACUGACCUUAAAGAUGCACAUAUCGCCCGUCGCUCGCGGGAA